GUGGCCAGUGGUGCAUCAGCGGACGGAUAAGGCCUCGUUUAGUUCGUGAAAAUAAAAAUUUCAUGACAUUGUAGUAUUUUCGUUUGUUUGUGGUAAUUAUUGUCCAACCAUGGACUAACUAGGAUCAAAAGAUUCGUCUUGUCAAUUUCGAUCAAACUGUGCAAUUAGUUUUUAUUUUUAUCUAUAUUUAAUACUCUAUGCA
RNAcentral lists this long non-coding RNA (202 nucleotides) under Sorghum bicolor (sorghum). Its description in RNAcentral is "long non-coding RNA (SBIC_LNC011409)". Lineage: Eukaryota; Viridiplantae; Streptophyta; Magnoliopsida; Poales; Poaceae. The record is from RNAcentral.